CCCUUAGAUGUUCUGGGCCGCACGCGUGCUACACUGAGUGGAUCAGCGGGUCAGGUUGCGCGAAAGUGUUUCCUAAUCUUGAAAUCCGCUCGUGAUGGGGAUUGACGGUUGCAAUUUUCCGUCAUGAACGAGGAAUACCUUGUAAGCGCGGGUCAUCAUCCCACGCUGAAUACGUCCCUGCCCUUUGUACACACCGCCCGUUGCUCCUACCGAUUGAGUGGUCCGGUGAGGCUUUGGGAUCUGAGCGGAAAGAGCGUUUCGCUGUUUCUGCUCGGAAAACUCAGUCGAACCUUAUCAUUUAGAGGAAGGAGAAGUCGUAACA
This 322-nucleotide ribosomal RNA is filed under the name uncultured eukaryote. RNAcentral's name for it is "partial 18S ribosomal RNA". It matches the Rfam family "Eukaryotic small subunit ribosomal RNA", at positions 1470 to 1796 of the family's 1831-position model. The record is from RNAcentral.